GAUGAACGCUGGCGGCGUGCCUAAUACAUGCAAGUCGAGCGAACAGACGAGGAUCUUGCUCCUCUGUCGUUAGCGGCGGACGGGUGAAUAACACGUGGAUAACCCACCUAUCAGACUGGGAUAACUUCGGGAAACCGGCUCUAAUACCAGAUAAUAUAUUGCACCGCAGGGUUCAAUAGUAAAAGACGGUUUUGCGGUAACUUAUCGAUGCAUCUGCGCCGCAUUAGCUAGUAGUUGAUGUAACGGCUUACCAAGGCAACGAUGCGUAGCCGACCUGAGAGGGGGGUCGCCCGCCGUGGAGCGUGACCACCCACAUGACGCCUACGGGAGGCACCAGUCGCGUACCUUCCGCAACAGUCGAAAGUAUGACGGAACGACGGCGCGCGAGAUAUAGCGGUCCUGCGAUCGUAAUACCCUGUUUUUAGGGAAGAACAACUGUGGAAGGUAACGUGCCCGGCUUGACGGUAACUAAUAAGAAAGCCCCGGCUAACUACGUG
This 497-nucleotide ribosomal RNA is filed under the name uncultured bacterium. Its description in RNAcentral is "partial 16S ribosomal RNA". It matches the Rfam family "Bacterial small subunit ribosomal RNA", at positions 28 to 507 of the family's 1533-position model. The record is from RNAcentral.